Molecule: ribosomal RNA, 722 nt
Filed under: Bacillus sp. 62ND13
Lineage: Bacteria; Bacillati; Bacillota; Bacilli; Caryophanales; Bacillaceae
Description: bacterial SSU rRNA
Rfam family: Bacterial small subunit ribosomal RNA
Source: RNAcentral
UUGCUCCCUGAGAUUAGCGGCGGACGGGUGAGUAACACGUGGGCAACCUGCCUAUAAGACUGGGAUAACUUCGGGAAACCGGAGCUAAUACCGGAUACGUUCUUUUCUCGCAUGAGAGAAGAUGGAAAGACGGUUUACGCUGUCACUUAUAGAUGGGCCCGCGGCGCAUUAGCUAGUUGGUGAGGUAAUGGCUCACCAAGGCGACGAUGCGUAGCCGACCUGAGAGGGUGAUCGGCCACACUGGGACUGAGACACGGCCCAGACUCCUACGGGAGGCAGCAGUAGGGAAUCUUCCGCAAUGGACGAAAGUCUGACGGAGCAACGCCGCGUGAACGAAGAAGGCCUUCGGGUCGUAAAGUUCUGUUGUUAGGGAAGAACAAGUACCAGAGUAACUGCUGGUACCUUGACGGUACCUAACCAGAAAGCCACGGCUAACUACGUGCCAGCAGCCGCGGUAAUACGUAGGUGGCAAGCGUUGUCCGGAAUUAUUGGGCGUAAAGCGCGCGCAGGUGGUUCCUUAAGUCUGAUGUGAAAGCCCACGGCUCACCCGUGGAGGGUCAUUGGAAACUGGGGGACUUGAGUGCAGAAAAGAAAGUGGAAUUCCAAGUGUAGCGGUGAAAUGCGUAGAGAUUUGGAGGAACACCAGUGGCGAAGGCGACUUUCUGGUCUGUACUGACACUGAGGCGCGAAAGCGUGGGGAGCAACAGGAUAAGAUACCCUGG